Thalassophryne amazonica is the source of this 162-nucleotide long non-coding RNA. RefSeq lists it as uncharacterized. The record is from RefSeq and is a predicted model, not a curated record. The transcript is spliced from 3 exons. Lineage: Eukaryota; Metazoa; Chordata; Actinopteri; Batrachoidiformes; Batrachoididae.
ACAAACAUAAAAUGGUGGAACCACGAACCAUCAUGCGUGUGGACGAACACAGUGCGAGCAGCUGGAAUGUGUUGCACCACAUUGUGCCUGUGAUGUGGAUGAAAAUAAAAUAAAAACCAGCUGUAUAAUUAGUGAAUAUCACUGAGUUGAUAUAAAUCAUAA